RNAcentral lists this non-coding RNA (99 nucleotides) under Dysgonomonas mossii. RNAcentral describes it as "TPP sequence". It matches the Rfam family "TPP riboswitch aptamer (THI element)". Rfam says of the family: Vitamin B(1) in its active form thiamin pyrophosphate (TPP) is an essential coenzyme that is synthesised by coupling of pyrimidine and thiazole moieties in bacteria. The previously detected thiamin-regulatory element, thi box was extended, resulting in a new, highly conserved RNA secondary structure, the THI element, which is widely distributed in eubacteria and also occurs in some archaea. The record is from RNAcentral. Lineage: Bacteria; Pseudomonadati; Bacteroidota; Bacteroidia; Bacteroidales; Dysgonomonadaceae. RNAcentral also lists the same sequence under 1 other name.
CAUCUCUGUUAGGGGUGUUCUUUUUUAUAAGAGCUGAGAUUAAACCCUUGAACCUGAUAUGCUGUAAUUGGCAUCGUAGGGAAACGGAAUGAAUAGAAG